This 384-nucleotide ribosomal RNA is filed under the name uncultured bacterium. Its description in RNAcentral is "bacterial SSU rRNA". It matches the Rfam family "Bacterial small subunit ribosomal RNA", at positions 34 to 410 of the family's 1533-position model. The record is from RNAcentral.
CGCUGGCGGCAGGCCUAAUACAUGCAAGUCGAACGGCAGCACAGCAGAGCUUGCUCUGUGGGUGGCGAGUGGCGGACGGGUGAGGAAGGGUACAUGGGAAUCUGCCCAGUCGUGGGGGAUAACGUAUGGAAACGUACGCUAAUACCGCAUGCGCCCUACGGGGGAAAGCCGGGGACCGCAAGGCCUGGCGCGAUUGGAUGAGCCCAUGUUCGAUUAGCUAGUUGGCGGGGUAAAGGCCCACCAAGGCGACGAUCGAUAGCUGGUCUGAGAGGAUGAUCAGCCACACUGGAACUGAGACACGGUCCAGACUCCUACGGGGAGGCAGCAGUAGGGAAUAUUGGACAAUGGGGGCAACCCUGAUCCAGCCAUGCCGCGUGAGUGAAG